GCUUCUGGUCCACUGGGCUGCGCAUCGGGACGUUAAGGCUGCAAAAGAGAUUCCGUCACUCCCAGUUGAAGAGUACCUAUGAUACAAAUGAAAGACUCCUACGUGCUAUAAAGCUGACAGCAACAACUCAUGGCAGGAUCGAUGGCGGAUUACGAGGCUCAUGGAGCUGCAUAGAGAGGAGGGCUCAGACUGAAGCCGCAGCUCUCAUUAAAACCCGGCCUGAUCUCAGCCGAGCCCUGGGAAAGGAGGGUUGAGAAAGGCAAGAAAGAAGCAGAGGAAGGAAGAACAUACAGGGAAGAAGAAAAGGGAAAAUCUAAGGGGAAAAAAAAGACAAAAAAAUGUAACUGUCCCCUUCGGACACGGCCUCUGCUGGACUCUUAUAAAU
Gasterosteus aculeatus aculeatus (three-spined stickleback) is the source of this 385-nucleotide long non-coding RNA. NCBI's taxonomy places the organism in Eukaryota, Metazoa, Chordata, Actinopteri, Perciformes, Gasterosteidae. The record is from Ensembl.